GUGGGCGAAAAAUAUUAGCAAGAUUGCUCGACCUUCUACAAUGCCUUCCCUCAUGCCCCUUGCAGUCCUAGCCAAGGCUGGUCCUCCUGUCUCACUUUUGGGACUGGCUACCUUCUGGUGGUGGCGCCAUGUUCGUCAAACGGCGAAGCCUCUCCUCAGCUAAGCGAACAGCUCUAGUGGAGCUUCUAAAGNNUGAGUUAUCUCUUGUCCUAGAUCACUUAGCUCCGUUGUUAGGUCACUAAUCUCCAUGCCCG
This 254-nucleotide unclassified non-coding RNA is filed under the name Hevea brasiliensis (rubber tree). The record is from RNAcentral. Lineage: Eukaryota; Viridiplantae; Streptophyta; Magnoliopsida; Malpighiales; Euphorbiaceae.